Condylura cristata (star-nosed mole) is the source of this 143-nucleotide long non-coding RNA. RefSeq lists it as uncharacterized. Lineage: Eukaryota; Metazoa; Chordata; Mammalia; Eulipotyphla; Talpidae. The transcript has 5 exons. The record is from RefSeq and is a predicted model, not a curated record.
AGAACAACCCAAGGGAAAAACAAAAUCACCAAAGAAGGAGCCUUCAGCUCUGAGUGACAAACAAGUAAAAGCAAAAACUGAAAAAGCCAAAGAAGAAAUUGGUGCUGCUUCAACUAAGAAAGCUGUACCUGGGAAGAAAGAAG